RNAcentral lists this non-coding RNA (819 nucleotides) under Pan troglodytes (chimpanzee). The record is from RNAcentral. Lineage: Eukaryota; Metazoa; Chordata; Mammalia; Primates; Hominidae.
CAGAUUCAGAGCCCCAGCCUGUUCAUAAAAAAAAUCAGAUGAAUUUUGUCUGCGGAACAUUCUGCAAAAAUAUCUGACCAGGAAAGAUAAAUAUGCAAAAAGUCACACACACAGGAAAUGAUUAAUACAAUUUUAUGGCAUCAAAAGAUACCAUUGAUAAAGUAAAACACAAGUCACGAACUAGGGGAAAGAAGAUGAGGUAGCAUCCAAAAUACAUGAAGAAAUCUUGUAAGUCUAUUAAAAGACUAUACGACCUAACAGAAAGAAGCAGCAAAAGCCAUGAAAAGGAAAAGAAGGAUAAAACUAUCUGAAGCCCUGUUAAAAGUCUGAGUCAUUUCUGCUCUAUUUCUUUCCCUACGAAUGGUAAGAGCUGGGGAUUGUGGUAUGUGCCUUUAGUCCUAGCUACUCCGGAGGCUGAGGCAGGAGGAUCACUUGAGCCCAGGACUUUGAGGCCGCUGUAAGCUAUGAUCAUGCCACUGCACUCCAGCUCAGGCAACAGUGAGACCCGGUCUCAACAAACAAAAGAAAAUAAAAGAAUGGUAGACAAGGAAAGCAGUUGAACAGCUAUGUGAGAAGCCUACUUUCUCUUCAUGUAACACGUUGGCCUAAGAGAUCUAUAGAGCUUUUUAAAAACAAAGAAGGCAGCAAGAUUUAAAAUAAUAAAACCAGCAAUAGGUAUUUUUAAAAGUGAGAGAAACUAUCAGAGAGCUGUAGCAGAAAAGCAAGUUAAAAAUAAAGGAAACAGAAAAGGAACUGAUACAGCUGAUUUGAUACUAGAAAAAUCACCCAGGAGGCGGCGUGGAGAAUGGAUUGGAGAAG